RNAcentral lists this long non-coding RNA (4752 nucleotides) under Sus scrofa (pig). Its description in RNAcentral is "lncRNA (ENSSSCG00035071059.1)". The record is from RNAcentral. Lineage: Eukaryota; Metazoa; Chordata; Mammalia; Artiodactyla; Suidae.
GAGUGCCGACUUCCAGAACUUGGUGCGAGGCACAGACGCCUGCCUUCUGCCCCGGUCCUGUGGACCCGGUGAGGGUGGCCUUCCCUAGGGUUAUGCUUUGUGCUCUCUGCGAUGUCACUUAGUUGGUUUGUGGGUCUUGAGAAGCGUUUUGAUUUUUUUUUUUCCCCUUGCAAGCUUGCUGUGGAGAGAAAAGUAAAUAAUUUUAAUUGUGGAAGAAGACAGAAGUCCUGGGUUUCUUGGAGUUUUGGGGUGACUUCCAUAACCAGUCCUGUCCAGUAUAGAAAUAAAGCAGGGAGGUAAAAUUCUUUCUGGACUACUACUAGGAGUUCUCUUUGCAGAAGGCAGCUUUUCCCUUUGUGUGAUUGGCAAAACGUUACAAAGAAAUCAACUUACAUGCCCUUAUUUACAAAAAAUUCUUCACUCAAAGACUUCCCUGUGGUGCGUUUGUUAGGACCAGGUUUCAGAUGCGAACUGCACGUUUCUCCCAGAGGAGAAGCAAAAGCUGGCAGGCUGACAGAGGCGGCCUCAGGACGGACCUUCUGGCUAUUGACCAUUUUGCUGUGGCUCACCCGGACCGUGUGGAGGCGCGAGAUCAACCAUGAGCUCCGUUGCAGUUUUGACCCAAGAGAGCUUUGCUGAGCACCGCAGUGGACUCAUUCCGCAGCAGAUAAGAGUUGCCACUUUAAAUUCAGAAGAGGAGAGCGACCCUCCAACCUACAAGGAUGCCUUCCCCCCGCUCCCCGAGAAAGCAGCUUGCUUGGAAAACCCCCAGGAACCUGCCGGCGCCUGGAGCAACAAAAUCCGGCCCAUCAAGGCGUCCGUCAUCACUCAGGUGUUCCACGUACCCCUGGAGGAGAGGAAGUACAAGGACAUGAACCAGUUUGGAGAAGGUGAACAAGCCAAAAUCUGCCUCGAGAUCAUGCAGAGGACCGGCGCUCACCUGGAGCUGUCCCUCGCCAAAGACCAGGGCCUCUCCAUCAUGGUUUCUGGGAAGCUGGACGCCGUCAUGAAGGCCCGGAAGGACAUUGUCGCUCGGCUGCAGACUCAGGCCUCCGCCACCGUUGCCAUCCCCAAAGAGCACCAUCGCUUUGUCAUCGGCAAAAACGGAGAGAAACUGCAGGACUUGGAGCUCAAAACCGCAACCAAAAUCCAGAUCCCACGCCCCGAUGACGCCAGCAAUCAGAUCAGGAUCACCGGCACCAAAGAGGGCAUCGAGAAGGCUCGCCACGAGGUCCUGCUCAUCUCCGCGGAGCAGGACAAACGUGCGGUGGAGCGGCUCGAGGUGGAGAAGGCCUUCCACCCCUUCAUCGCGGGGCCCUACAACCGGCUGGUCAGCGAGAUCAUGCAGGAGACGGGCACACGCAUCAACAUCCCGCCGCCCAGCGUCAACCGCACCGAGAUCGUCUUCACGGGCGAAAAGGAGCAGCUGGCGCAGGCCGUGGCUCGCAUCCGCAAGAUCUACGAGGAGAAGAAAAAGAAGACCACCACCAUCGCGGUCGAGGUGAAGAAGUCCCAGCACAAGUACGUCAUCGGCCCCAAGGGCAACUCCUUGCAAGAGAUUCUGGAAAGAACCGGCGUUUCUGUGGAGAUCCCACCUUCAGACAGCGCCUCCGAGACUGUGAUCCUUCGAGGCGAGCCCGAGAAGCUGGGGCAGGCGUUGACAGAGGUCUAUGCCAAGGCCAACAGCUUCACGGUCUCCUCCGUCUCGGCUCCUUCCUGGCUUCACCGUUUCAUCAUUGGCAAGAAGGGUCAGAACCUGGCCAAAAUCACCCAGCAGAUGCCCAAGGUUCACGUUGAGUUCACGGAAGGCGAGGACAGGAUCACCCUGGAAGGCCCCACGGAGGACGUCAGCGCGGCCCAGGAGCAGAUCGAAGCCAUGGUCAAGGACUUGGUGAGCCGGAUGGACUACGUGGAGAUCAGCAUCGACCACAAGUUCCACAGACACCUCAUCGGGAAGAGCGGGGCCAACAUAAACAGGAUCAAGGACCAGUACAAGGUGUCGGUGCGCAUACCCCCCGACAGCGAGAGGAGCAGCCUGAUCCGCAUCGAGGGCGACCCGCAGGGCGUGCAGCAGGCCAAGCGCGAGCUGCUGGAGCUCGCCUCCCGCAUGGAGAACGAGCGCACCAAGGAUCUGAUCAUCGAGCAGAGGUUCCAUCGCACCAUCAUCGGGCAGAAGGGGGAGCGGAUCCGAGAGAUUCGGGACAAAUUCCCGGAGGUUAUCAUCAACUUUCCAGACCCAGCCCAGAAAAGCGAUAUUGUUCAACUCAGGGGGCCCAAGAACGAGGUGGAAAAAUGCACGAAAUACAUGCAGAAGAUGGUGGCAGAUCUGGUGGAAAACAGCUAUUCGAUUUCUGUUCCGAUCUUCAAGCAGUUUCACAAGAACAUCAUCGGGAAAGGAGGGGCCAACAUUAAGAAGAUUCGAGAAGAGAGCAACACCAAGAUCGACCUCCCCGCCGAGAACAGCAACUCAGAGACCAUUGUCAUCACAGGCAAGCGAGCCAACUGCGAGGCUGCCCGGAGCCGCAUUCUGUCCAUCCAGAAAGACCUGGCCAACAUCGCCGAGGUGGAGGUCGCCAUCCCUGCCCGGCUGCACAACGCCCUCAUCGGCACCAAGGGCCGGCUCAUCCGCUCCAUCAUGGAGGAGUGCGGCGGCGUCCACAUCCACUUCCCCGUGGAAGGCUCCGGGAGCGACACCGUGGUCAUCAGGGGCCCUUCCUCCGACGUGGAGAAGGCCCGCAAGCAGCUCCUGCACCUGGCGGAGGAGAAGCAAACCAAGAGCUUCACCGUCGACAUCCGAGCCAAGCCGGAAUACCACAAGUUCCUCAUCGGCAAAGGGGGCGGCAAAAUCCGCAAGGUGCGCGACAGCACCGGGGCCCGCAUCAUCUUCCCCGCCGCCGAGGACAAGGACCAGGACCUGAUCACCAUCAUAGGCAGGGAGGACGCCGUCCGGGAGGCCCAGCGGGAGCUGGAGGCCCUGAUCCAGAACCUGGACAACGUGGUUGAGGACUUCAUGCUGGUGGACCCCAGGCACCACCGUCACUUUGUCAUCCGACGAGGCCAGGUCCUGCGGGAGAUCGCAGAGGAGUACGGCGGGGUGAUGGUUAGCUUCCCCCGCUCCGGCACGCAGAGCGACAGAGUCACCCUGAAGGGGGCCAAGGACUGCGUGGAGGCGGCCAAGAAGCGCAUUCAGGAGAUCAUCGAGGACCUGGAAGCCCAGGUGACCAUAGAGUGCGCCAUUCCCCAGAAGUUCCAUCGCUCGGUCAUGGGCCCCAAAGGUUCCAGAAUCCAGCAGAUAACUCGCGACCAUAACGUUCAGAUUAAAUUCCCAGACAGAGAGGAGAACCCAGCGCACGGCACGGAGCCAGCCGUCCAGGAGAACGGCGACGACCCCGGGGAGGGGAGAGACGGGAAGGAGGCCGAGCCCGGCUCCCCCAGGAGAUGCGACAUCAUCACCAUCUCCGGCCGGAAGGAGAAGUGCGAGGCCGCCAAGGAGGCCCUUGAGGCCCUGGUUCCCGUCACCAUUGAGGUGGAGGUGCCCCUUGACCUUCACCGGUACAUCAUCGGCCAGAAGGGGAGCGGGAUCCGCAGGAUGAUGGACGAGUUUGAGGUGAAUAUUCACGUCCCGGCCCCCGAGCUGCAGUCAGGCGUCAUCGCCAUCACGGGCCUGGCUGCCAACCUGGACCGGGCCAAGGCUGGGCUGCUGGAGCGGGUGAAGGAGCUGCAGGCGGAGCAGGAAGACCGGGCUUUGCGGAGCUUCAAGCUGAGCGUCACCGUUGACCCCAAGUACCACCCCAAGAUCAUCGGGCGGAAGGGGGCGGUGAUCACCCAGAUCCGCCUGGAGCACGACGUCAACAUCCAGUUUCCUGAUAAGGACGAUGGGAGCCAGGACCACAUCACCAUCACGGGCUACGAGAAGAACACCGAGGCCGCCCGGGACGCCAUCCUCAAGAUCGUGGGGGAGCUCGAGCAGAUGGUUUCUGAGGACGUGCCGCUCGACCACCGCGUCCACGCCCGCAUCAUCGGUGCCCGCGGCAAAGCCAUCCGCAAGAUCAUGGAUGAGUUCAAGGUGGACAUUCGCUUCCCGCAGAGCGGGGCCCCCGACCCCAACUGCGUCACCGUGACGGGGCUGCCGGAGAACGUGGAGGAAGCCAUCGACCACAUCCUCAACCUGGAGGAGGAAUACCUGGCCGACGUGGUGGACACCGAGGCGCUGCAGCUGUACAUGAAGCCCCCGGCCCACGAGGAGGCCAAGGCGCCGUCCAGGGGCUUCGUGGUGCGGGACGCCCCCUGGACCGCCAGCAGCAGCGAGAAGGCUCCCGACAUGAGCAGCUCGGAGGAGUUCCCCAGCUUCGGGGCUCAGGUGGCCCCCAAGACCCUCCCCUGGGGCCCCAAACGAUAAUGCUCGACAAGCAGAAACCUCUCCAGCCUGCUGACCUGAACCCGCCACACGAUGGUCCGUCUCAAUCCGACCCAGCGGCUGGACCCUCCGCAAAUUCUUGACGCCCCUUCCCCGAGGUCUCACAGCGAAGCCGGCGUGGCCCGCGCCCUGGCGGCCGGGUCUCAGGCCUGGCCGCCCCCGGCACAGGCUCUGCUCCCGACCUCUGUGCUGGGGUGGCGGCCGCACGAGCCCCGCGGAGGCCCGCGUCAUCCACCCGGCCUGCCCCGGCUCCGGCCUCCCCGGGAGAGCGCUGCAGCUGCGGCCGCGUCCACUUCCUGUGUCACGACCUCAGGAAAUAAAUGUCCUUGACUUUC